Molecule: ribosomal RNA, 490 nt
Filed under: uncultured bacterium
Lineage: Bacteria
Description: partial 16S ribosomal RNA
Rfam family: Bacterial small subunit ribosomal RNA
Source: RNAcentral
AUUGAACGCUGGCGGCAGGCCUAACACAUGCAAGUCGAACGGUAACACGAAACAGCUUGCUGUUUCGCUGACGAGUGGCGGACGGGUGAGAAAUGUCUGGGAAACUGCCUGAUGGAGGGGGAUAACUACUGGAAACGGUAGCUAAUACCGCAUAACGUCGCAAGCCCAAAGAGGGGGACCUUCGGGCCUCUUGCCAUCGGGUGUGCCCAGAUGGUCAUAGCUAGUAGGUGGGGUAACGGUUCACCUAGGUGACGAUCCCUAGCUGGUCUGAGAGAAGGAGCGGCGACACGAGAGCGUAGACACGGUCCAGACGCCUGCGGGAGGCAGCAGUGGGGAAUGUUGCGCAGUAGGCGCAAGCCUGAUGCAGCCAUGCCGCGUGUAUGAAGAAAGCCUUCGGGGUGGAAAGUACUUUCAGCGGUGAGGAAGGGAGUAAAGUUAAUACCUAGACUGAUUGACGUUACCCGCAGAAGAAGCACCGGCUAACUACGUG